This 501-nucleotide ribosomal RNA is filed under the name uncultured bacterium. RNAcentral describes it as "partial 16S ribosomal RNA". It matches the Rfam family "Bacterial small subunit ribosomal RNA", at positions 30 to 523 of the family's 1533-position model. The record is from RNAcentral.
AUUGGACGCUGGCGGCAGGCUUAACACAUGCAAGUCGAGCGGGGGAAGGUAGCUUGCUACCGGACCUAGCGGCGGACGGGUGAGUAAUGCUUAGGAAUCUGCCUAUUAGUGGGGGACAACAUCUCGAAAGGGAUGCUAAUACCGCAUACGUCCUACGGGAGAAAGCAGGGGAUCUUCGGACCUUGCGCUAAUAGAUGAGCCUAAGUCGGAUUAGCUAGUUGGUGGGGUAAAGGCCUACCAAGGCGACGAUCUGUAGAGGGUCUGGGAGGAUGGUCCGCAACACUGGGACUGAGACACGGCCCAGACUCCUACGGGAGGCAGCAGUGGGGAAUAUUGGACAAUGGGGGGAACCCUGAUCCAGCCAUGCCGCGUGUGUGAAGAAGGCCUUAUGGUUGUAAAGCACUUUAAGCGAGGAGGAGGCUACUUUAGUUAAUACCUAGAGAUAGUGGACGUUACUCGCAGAAUAAGCACCGGCUAACUCUGUGCCAGCCGCCGCGGUAA